AACAAAAAAAUAAGACAAAAAUGUAAAGAUUAGUUGGAAAUCCGAAAAAUAAAUCAACUUUAUUUUUCUAUUAGACUCUAAUUCUACUCAUCAUUUAGGGGCUGUAUAUAAUCAGAUCUAGACUGAAUGCCUUCUAGUGUGUUUUUUUGCUUGUUUUUGUUUUACUCAGUUCACGCUGGCUCUAGCUCCAGAUCUAAUUUAAAUCUUAGAAAUCCGAUCUAUACUGACUAUUCACUAUACUCUUAGGACUCUUAGGUUACUCUAGUCUAGUUCUAGAUAUAUUGAAUCAAGAUAAUUUAACUUUGAACUUUGAGAUCUAAUAUAUAGGCCUACAAUGGAUGGAUACACUUUCAGAACACCGACAGGAAAAGGCAUCCAUGAAUACGUUGACUAUGAACAGUAUCUCUCUUCAUUGGUGACCACAGCUGAUAAGUUUUACACAGAAGAUGUAGCAAUCGCACAAAAACUCAUAGAACUGGGUUUCAAGGGACCAAUAGAUGGGUUUACAGAAGAAGAAUUCAAUCAAAUGAAACAAAUGUAUGAGAAAAAGAAGCGUGUUAUGCCGGCCCUUCUACAAACCAAACUACUUCUGAGCGGUGGAAGAACUUAUGAAGAUGGUCUGUUGAGGGCGUUACAGAUGCGAGAAGAAGGCAACAGAAGUGGCAAAAACUGGUCAAUAUUCUUUCUUCGGAUGUACAACUCGAAAGGCCAGGAAGUGUCGGCCUAUAUUGACUAUGCACAUCGAUUAUCUACUGAGGAUUUCGGGCCGAUAUUUGAUCUGGACAAGCCAUUUUUGCCUCACAAAUCUGAUCUAAGCUUUUUAAACUGGGAGACUUCCGACGCCGUCUGGAACGACUCGCCAAAUUAUCAGGUGCUAUGCCUCAGUUUACAUGGGAUAGUAUUUCGGAACAAACGAGAUAAUAAGAUUGUCAACCCAGAUCCUUUUGGUGCUCCCGGAGAUAACUCCAGCCGGACAAAUAUAUCAACCACAAUGUACCUUAGUGCUUUUGUGAUAGAUCACUACAACAGGCUAUAGAAAAGAGAAUACACAUAUCUAGCCAGUCUCAGAUCAAUGUAUACUUAUUGGUACCCAUUGGAGUUAGUUGGACUCAGAGGCGCCAUAAGGAUCCCGAAAUAAAAAAAAACAGUCUUCACCAGGAUUUCAACUCGGGACCCCCAGUUCUUAAGCCAAGCUUUUCUACUCAGCCACUGCACCUCCUCCACAACUUUACCUGUGAAUUCAAUGAGAUUAUUUGGAAGUAUAAAGACACGCAGCUAAUCUCUAUAUGAUGGUCUGAAGAAGAAAGCUCGCAGGAAUUUGUUUAAAUGGAAAUAAUGGAACUAUGCAUACUGUUCACAAGUUAUUCUUAUUUCUAAUGUACGAUAAGAUGUGACAGAUGAUAUUGUCAUAAUAGAUUUAAUGUAGACUGAUAUAUAACAAACUUAGCCUGAUUACAUUUACAGGUAAACAAUAAUCUACAUACAGUGGCGUAGCUAAGGAUUUGGGGGCCCGGGGGGUGCUUGACCUCAUUAGGGCCAUCUGUAUUUUGACAUUGGACAUCAUGACAUGAGAUAAUGGCGUAAUAUUUAAUGUAAAACAAAUUUUGGACACUCAUUUGUAGGACCCCUCAAGUGGAGGCCCCGGGGGGGAUUUUCAAAUUUGGACCCCCCCCCCUCCCCCACCCUAGCUACGCCA
Biomphalaria glabrata is the source of this 1696-nucleotide RNA transcript. It is a transcript of the gene named cilia- and flagella-associated protein 299-like, with no coding region annotated. NCBI's taxonomy places the organism in Eukaryota, Metazoa, Mollusca, Gastropoda, Planorbidae. The transcript is spliced from 6 exons. The record is from RefSeq and is a predicted model, not a curated record.